This 402-nucleotide ribosomal RNA is filed under the name Bacteroidota bacterium. RNAcentral describes it as "Bacteroidetes bacterium partial 16S ribosomal RNA". It matches the Rfam family "Bacterial small subunit ribosomal RNA", at positions 355 to 776 of the family's 1533-position model. The record is from RNAcentral. Lineage: Bacteria; Pseudomonadati; Bacteroidota.
UGGGGAAUAUUGCACAAUGGAGGGAACUCUGAUGCAGCGACGCCGCGUGAACGAAGAAGGCUUUCGAGUCGUAAAGUUCUUUUAUAUGGGAAGAUAAUGACGGUACCAUAAGAAAAAGCCCCGGCUAACUACGUGCCAGCAGCCGCGGUAAUACGUAGGGGGCUAGCGUUGUCCGGAAUCACUGGGCGUAAAGGGUUCGCAGGCGGAAAUGCAAGUCAGGUGUAAAAGGCAGUAGCUUAACUACUGUAAGCAUUUGAAACUGCAUAUCUUGAGAAGAGUAGAGGUAAGUGAAUUUUUAGUGUAGCGGUGAAAUGCGUAGAUAUUAAAAAGAAUACCGGUGGCGAAGGCGACUUACUGGGCUCAUUCUGACGCUGAGGAACGAAAGCGUGGGUAGCAAACAGG